This 219-nucleotide small RNA is filed under the name Streptomyces zinciresistens K42. Its description in RNAcentral is "Actinobacteria sRNA Ms_IGR-5". It matches the Rfam family "Actinobacteria sRNA Ms_IGR-5". The record is from Rfam by way of RNAcentral. Lineage: Bacteria; Bacillati; Actinomycetota; Actinomycetes; Kitasatosporales; Streptomycetaceae.
ACACGAGAAGGGAGGUGGUUCGGCAGAUGUAUGGAUACCGGACGCGUGAGGUGGCUGCGGGCUAGCGGCCCGUCACCCCACCCAGUGCGGUGCCGGACCCGCAUGUGAACGACGCGUGCAGCCGGCCCAAUCCCAGCAGUCACCCGACCCGCGAGUCCGCCGGUACGUCCGGCCGGCUCCUCCGCCCCGCGGAGGACCCGGACUCGCGGGUCGUCUGCG